Molecule: long non-coding RNA, 454 nt
Filed under: Setaria viridis
Lineage: Eukaryota; Viridiplantae; Streptophyta; Magnoliopsida; Poales; Poaceae
Description: long non-coding RNA (SVIR_LNC010513)
Source: RNAcentral
UGAGAUCAAGAUAUGCAAAAUACACACGGAUCUGAACAUUUCUGAUCCGUUGACAAAACCACUCCCGCAGGCUAAACAUGAUGCGCAUGUAAGAGCUAUGGGUAUUAGGUACCUUCUAGAUUGACUCUAGUGCAAGUGGGAGACUGUUGGAGGUAUGCCCUAGAGGCAAUCAUAGAGAUGAUGAUAUUCCAUUUGUAUCCAUGAUUUGUAUAUUGUGUUCAUUGAAUAUCCAUUAAAGGCUACUUGAAUUGAUUUGCAAUUAUGUGAAUUGUAUGUGAAACUCUUUACUUGUAUGGUUAUUCUAAAGUUAUCCCUAGUCGGAGUUCAUGUGAGGACACACAUGAAUAUUAGACUAGCACAUGUAUUAGUUGAUGACUAUGUUUCACAAGUCAUGGACAUAGAGAUUUUGAACUAAUAGUGUGGACACCUGUGGAGACAUGUGCUAGGACUGACC